GUAGAGCGAGAGAACAUGAAUAGUAUUGGGUGAGAGAGAGAGAACAUGAAUAGUAUUGGGUGGUAGAGAGAGAGAGAGAGAACAUGAAUAGUAUUGGGUGGUAGAGAGAGAGAGAGAGAACAUGAAUAGUAUUGGGUGGUAGAGAGAGAGAGAGAGAGAACAUGAAUAGUAUUGGGUGGUAGAGAGAGAGAGAGAACAUGAAUAGUAUUGGGUGGUAGAGAGAGAGAGAGAGAACAUGAAUAGUAUUGGGUGGUAGAGAGAGAGAGAGAACAUGAAUAGUAUUGGGUGGUAGAGAGAGAGAGAGAACAUGAAUAGUAUUGGGUGGUAGAGAGAGAACAUGAAUAGUAUUGGGUGGUAGAGAGAGAGAGAACAUGAAUAGUAUUGUGUGGUAGAGAGAGAGAGA
Molecule: long non-coding RNA, 403 nt
Organism: Oncorhynchus tshawytscha (Chinook salmon)
Lineage: Eukaryota; Metazoa; Chordata; Actinopteri; Salmoniformes; Salmonidae
Source: Ensembl